This 327-nucleotide ribosomal RNA is filed under the name Uromyces sp. rufbw-02. RNAcentral describes it as "partial 25S ribosomal RNA". It matches the Rfam family "Eukaryotic large subunit ribosomal RNA", at positions 237 to 573 of the family's 3401-position model. The record is from RNAcentral. Lineage: Eukaryota; Fungi; Basidiomycota; Pucciniomycetes; Pucciniales; Pucciniaceae.
CAGUGCAAUAUGAUACAGUCUCUAAGAGUCGAGUUGUUUGGGAAUGCAGCUCAAAGAGGGUGGUAAAUUCCAUCUAAGGCUAAAUAUUGAUGAGAGACCGAUAGCAAACAAGUACCGUGAGGGAAAGAUGAAAAGAACUUUGGAAAGAGAGUUAACAGUACGUGAAAUUGUUAAAAGGGAAACAAUUGAAGUUAGACUUGUUAUUAUUAGUUCAACCUUUUUUUAGGGAGUAUUCUAAUGAUUAACAGACCAACAUCAACUUUUGAGUGUUGGAUAAGGGCUUAAGGAAAUGUAGCAGUCUCUGAUUGUGUUAUAGUCCUGAGCUUU